GACGAACGCUGGCGGCGUGCUUAACACAUGCAAGUCGAACGGAAAGGCCCUGCUUUGGUGGGGUGCGCGAGUGGCGAACGGGUGAGUAACACGUGAGUAACCUGCCCUUGACUUUGGGAUAACUUCAGGAAACUGGGGCUAAUACCGGAUAGGAGCUCCUGCUGCAUGGUGGGGGUUGGAAAGUUUCGGCGGUUGGGGAUGGACUCGCGUCUUAUCAGCUUGUUGGUGUGGUAGUGGAUUACCAAGGCUUUGACGGGUAGCCGGCCUGAGAGGGUGACCGGCCACAUUGGGACUGAGAUGAGGCACAGCCUCGUACGGGACGCAGGGGUGGGGAAGAGUAUACUAGGGGCUGAACGCUGAUGCAGCAAAGCAGCGUGCGGGAUGUGGGCCUUGGGGUUGUAUUCUGAUUUCCUCUGUCACGAAGCGUGAGUGACGGUAAUGGGUAAAGAAGCACCGGCUAACUACGUG
This 468-nucleotide ribosomal RNA is filed under the name uncultured bacterium. RNAcentral's name for it is "partial 16S ribosomal RNA". It matches the Rfam family "Bacterial small subunit ribosomal RNA", at positions 28 to 507 of the family's 1533-position model. The record is from RNAcentral.